UACGGAGGGGGCUAGCGUUGUUCGGAAUUACUGGGCGUAAAGCGCACGUAGGCGGUGGCGCAUGUCAGAUGUGAAAGCCCUGGGCUUAACCUAGGAAUUGCAUUUGAAACUGCGCCGCUAGAGGCCGGAAGAGGGUAGUGGAAUUCCCAGUGUAGAGGUGAAAUUCGUAGAUAUUGGGAAGAACACCGGUGGCGAAGGCGGCUACCUGGUCCGGUUCUGACGCUGAGGUGCGAAAGCGUGGGGAGCAAACAGG
Molecule: ribosomal RNA, 253 nt
Filed under: uncultured bacterium
Lineage: Bacteria
Also listed under: 2 other names
Description: partial 16S ribosomal RNA
Rfam family: Bacterial small subunit ribosomal RNA
Source: RNAcentral